CCCGACUGAUGGUCCCUCGGACGGGACAUCCACAAGCACUGUCGGCGCCGACAGUGCGAUCACCGGCUCCGCCUCCGACCCGGCUGGUUCGCUCGGCGAAACCACGCGGGGCCUCUUGGGAGUCUGCGACGGCCCGGCACCUGCCGCCGGCCUCUUCCUCACGGCAUGCUGACGUAUGUCGGCUGCCGACAGUCGCGUCCUCGGCGGCAUAUCUGAAAAAGACGACGAAUGGUCAGAGC
RNAcentral lists this long non-coding RNA (239 nucleotides) under Elaeis guineensis (African oil palm). RNAcentral's name for it is "long non-coding RNA (EGUI_LNC014165)". The record is from RNAcentral. Lineage: Eukaryota; Viridiplantae; Streptophyta; Magnoliopsida; Arecales; Arecaceae.